Non-coding RNA from Actinomycetales bacterium JB111, 129 nucleotides. Lineage: Bacteria; Bacillati; Actinomycetota; Actinomycetes; Actinomycetales. The record is from Rfam.
AGCUUUCUUCGCGGCGGAGCUCGACCGCCCCUCGCACUGAUCGACACCUACAUCGACGAGAACAAGGCCGCCUAUGGGGUCGAGCCGAUCUGCCAGGCGCUACGCAGCGCGGACGUGCAGGUCGCCCCG